GGAAAAAUUAAACGUAUCAUGAAAAUACCAAUUAUUGAACCUAAAACUAUUGGAGGAUUAAUUGCAGAUAUUAAAUUAGUGAGGGGAUUAGCAAGAAGUUACAAAAGUUUAUUGAUGAAUCGUAUGUAUAAUGCCUAAUAGGACGUGUGUGUUAAAAAUUAAAAUUAAUUUUAGGGGAGCUCAGGGUAAGUUGACGUGUUGGGUAAGAUGGAAAAUUGAUCAUAUCAAAAUAACGAUAUUACCGAUAAUCUGCAGAAUUUCUUAAGCAGUAGGUUAUAUUUAAAAAAUGUAUAGACCUUAAAUGCGUCAACCUAACCUUGAGUUCCCCUACUGUAAUUGUAAUUACUUAACAAUAUGCAGUGUUUAUAUAUCAACGUCCAACAGAGCCACAUAGGUCGUGACCGAUCGUAAAAUAAGAUUAUGGUGUUUGAAUGCUGUUACAAAUACUGUUUAUAUUGAAUAUUUAUAUGAUAAAUAAAAAAUAAUAAUUUGGGUAAGUGGAGUUGGUCCAUAGUUGAAAUAUACAAGGUUAUUGCAUUUAUACCCUUUCUAGAUCAAAUAUUUGAUGAUAAAAACAAAAAUGGCAGCGUAAAGGGAACCAAUAAUAAUCAAGUAUACAUACGCGUGAAUAUUGAAUUUGUUAGCUUUUGUCAGUUUGUUUUUGAUGAUAAUACAAAUUUAUAUUGUGAUAUCUCUUUACGCAGCCAUUUUAUUUCUGAUGAUAACAAUCCGAGUCAAUACGCAAUAACCUGUAUAUUUCAACCAUGAAGCCACACUUUCCCCCCGGCUCAAGUGAGUGACUGAAAAAGACAGCGAUCCAGUAAAUUCUUUGCUAGCAUCGGCCGUAAAGUUAAUUGUUAAAUGUUGACCCAUUGCAACGUAAAAAAAACAAUAUAUUGGGUGGGAUUAACCUCAUAGUUUUUCCGUUCAAGUAAAUACUGUAAUAGGUUGUGACUGAUCAUAAAAUAAGAAUAUGGUGUUUGAAUGCUGUUAAAAUUGCUGUUUAUAUUGAAUAUUUAUAUGAUAACUAAAUACAAAAAAAUAAUUUGGGUAAAUGGAGUUGGCCCCCUUUCUCUCCAGGCACAAGUUAGUGACUGUAUAAGGAAGCGACGCAGUAAAUUUAUUGACGGCGUCGGCUACAGUGUUAAUUUUAAACAUCAAUGGGUAUUCCUACGUAAAAAAACAAUGCAUUGGGUGAGAAUAACCUCAUAGUUUUUCCAGUACAAGGAAAUGGUGUAUAAGAACAGGUUAUCCCUGUCCAGGGGUCACAUGUUAAUUCGGA
This is a long non-coding RNA of Acyrthosiphon pisum (pea aphid), 1282 nucleotides long. RefSeq lists it as uncharacterized. Lineage: Eukaryota; Metazoa; Arthropoda; Insecta; Hemiptera; Aphididae. The transcript is spliced from 7 exons. The record is from RefSeq and is a predicted model, not a curated record.